RNAcentral lists this transfer RNA (72 nucleotides) under Bos taurus (domestic cattle). It matches the Rfam family "tRNA". From Rfam's summary of the family: Transfer RNA (tRNA) molecules are approximately 80 nucleotides in length. Their secondary structure includes four short double-helical elements and three loops (D, anti-codon, and T loops). Further hydrogen bonds mediate the characteristic L-shaped molecular structure. tRNAs have two regions of fundamental functional importance: the anti-codon, which is responsible for specific mRNA codon recognition, and the 3' end, to which the tRNAs corresponding amino acid is attached (by aminoacyl-tRNA synthetases). tRNAs cope with the degeneracy of the genetic code in two manners: having more than one tRNA (with a specific anti-codon) for a particular amino acid; and 'wobble' base-pairing, i.e. permitting non-standard base-pairing at the 3rd anti-codon position. The record is from Rfam by way of RNAcentral. RNAcentral also lists the same sequence under 4 other names. Lineage: Eukaryota; Metazoa; Chordata; Mammalia; Artiodactyla; Bovidae.
UCUCUAGUGGUCCAGUGGUUAAGACUCAGCACUUUCACUGCUGUGGCCUAGCUUCAUUCGAUGGCCAGGGAA